RNAcentral lists this non-coding RNA (23 nucleotides) under Cricetulus griseus (Chinese hamster). The record is from RNAcentral. Lineage: Eukaryota; Metazoa; Chordata; Mammalia; Rodentia; Cricetidae.
GGGAAAGGAAAAAGGCUGGAUGG